RNAcentral lists this ribosomal RNA (198 nucleotides) under uncultured bacterium. RNAcentral's name for it is "partial 16S ribosomal RNA". The record is from RNAcentral.
CUGAAUCAUGCCUGCAUGGGCGGCAGCCUGACGCAGCCAACGCCGCGUGUGAUGAUGAAGGCCUUCGGGUUGUUAAAGCUCUUUUCUGAGGGGGACAAAAAAGGUCCGUGUCUGGAAUUAGUAGCUCGGUAAGCUAACUUAAUUGCCCCGACGGCCGCGGUUCAUAAAACACCAGCCGCGGUAAAUAAAAAAAAAAAA